Molecule: ribosomal RNA, 505 nt
Filed under: uncultured bacterium
Lineage: Bacteria
Description: partial 16S ribosomal RNA
Rfam family: Bacterial small subunit ribosomal RNA
Source: RNAcentral
GAUGAACGCUGGCGGCGUGCCUAAUACAUGCAAGUAGAACGCACAGUUGAUACCGUAGCUUGCUUCACCAUAGACUGUGAGGUGCGAACGGGAGAGUAAUGCGUAGGUAACCUGCCUGGCAGCGGGGGAUAACUACUGGAAACGAAAGCUAAUACCGCAUAAUAUUGAUUAUUGCAUGAUAAUUGAUUGAUAGAUGCUAUUGCAUCACUACCAGAUGGACCUGCGUUGUAUUAGCUAGUAGGUGAGGUAACGGCUCACCUAGGCGAAGAAACAUAGACGACCCUGAGAGGUGGACGGCCACCCGGGGAAUGGGGCCAGGCCCCAGAUCCUUCCGGGAGCCACCAUAGGGGAACUUUGGCAAUGGACGGAAGUCUUGCCGAAGAACGCCGCGUGGGUGGAGGAAGUUUUCGGAUCGUAAAACUCUGUUGUAUGGGAAGAAAGGGUGUGAGAGUGAAAAGUUCACGCUGUGACGGUAUCUUACCAGAAAGAGACGGCUAACUACGUG